RNAcentral lists this long non-coding RNA (612 nucleotides) under Gossypium barbadense (sea-island cotton). Its description in RNAcentral is "long non-coding RNA (GBAR_LNC017611)". Lineage: Eukaryota; Viridiplantae; Streptophyta; Magnoliopsida; Malvales; Malvaceae. The record is from RNAcentral.
GUACGUUAAAUUUUGUCGAAUUAUGUAGCUUUAUUUGGAAAGAUUAUGCAGUUCAAUUCCUUAAUAUCUAGGAAUUAGAGUUAGAUACAGAUUUUCUUAUGAAGUUCAUAUUUUUAAGAGUUUCCUAUUCUUAGGGAGUUAAUUACUAUUUUUAAGCUAGACAAUUGUGUAUAUAAACUCAGGUUGUAACCUGAUUUAGUGAUGAUAAAUUUCAUUCUUCUCUUAUGAUUUUUGUCAUGAUAUCAGAGCUAUUGGCUCUUUCUUGAUAAACUCUGAAUUUUUUCUGUUCUUUUCUCUGGUCAUACCCAACUGAGCUCCAUCUUUUCUGUUCCUCUCAAUCGUUGUUGCAUUCGCUCUCAUAAUUGCCUUGUUUGUAUCUAUUUCUCCAUUCAAUCAAUCAUGUCGAAAUCACCAGUCCUGUCAUAAGUGCCCCUACAUUUGAGAAUAUCGUCACUAUUACAAUUGAAGGUUUGUAGAACAUUCAAGCCGUAUAUCAAUUGAAUGGGAAGAAUUAAUUGAAGUGCUCACAAUUGGUCUGCACUUUUCUAAAGGGCAGAGAAACAUUAAGCCAUUUAAUGGGCACAGGUCUUUUGCAGGACGGUCCCAAAUUUG